This 530-nucleotide ribosomal RNA is filed under the name uncultured bacterium. Its description in RNAcentral is "bacterial SSU rRNA". It matches the Rfam family "Bacterial small subunit ribosomal RNA", at positions 356 to 896 of the family's 1533-position model. The record is from RNAcentral.
GGGGAAUAUUGCACAAUGGGCGCAAGCCUGAUGCAGCGACGCCGCGUGGGGGAUGACGGCCUUCGGGUUGUAAACUCCUUUCGCCAGGGACGAAGCGUUUUGUGACGGUACCUGGAGAAGAAGCACCGGCUAACUACGUGCCAGCAGCCGCGGUAAUACGUAGGGUGCAAGCGUUGUCCGGAAUUACUGGGCGUAAAGAGCUCGUAGGUGGUUUGUCACGUCGUCUGUGAAAUUCCACAGCUUAACUGUGGGCGUGCAGGCGAUACGGGCUGACUUGAGUACUGUAGGGGUAACUGGAAUUCCUGGUGUAGCGGUGAAAUGCGCAGAUAUCAGGAGGAACACCGAUGGCGAAGGCAGGUUACUGGGCAGUUACUGACGCUGAGGAGCGAAAGCAUGGGUAGCAAACAGGAUUAGAUACCCUGGUAGUCCAUGCCGUAAACGGUGGGCGCUAGGUGUAGGGAUCUUUUGGGGUUUCUGUGCCGUAGCUAACGCAUUAAGCGCCCCGCCUGGGGAGUACGGCCGCAAGGCUA